RNAcentral lists this signal recognition particle RNA (86 nucleotides) under bacterium. RNAcentral describes it as "signal recognition particle sRNA small type". It matches the Rfam family "Bacterial small signal recognition particle RNA". Rfam says of the family: The signal recognition particle (SRP) is a universally conserved ribonucleoprotein involved in the co-translational targeting of proteins to membranes. Archaeal SRP consists of a 7S RNA and homologues of the eukaryotic SRP19 and SRP54 proteins. The record is from RNAcentral.
AUCUAAGUGCAACACAUAUUGAUGGAAUCAGGUCAGGGUUGGAAAGCAGCAGCCUUAACAAAAAUAUGUGUGUGCACUUUUUUUUG